UGGGGAGCAAACAGGAUUAGAUACCAUGGUAGUCCACGCUGUAAACGAUGAAUACUAGGUGUUGGGGAGCAAAGCUCUUCGGUGCCGCCGCUAACGCAGUAAGUAUUCCACCUGGGGAGUACGUUCGCGAGAAUGAAACUCAAAGGAAUUGACGGGGACCCGCACAAGCGGUGGAGCAUGUGGUUUAAUUAGAAGCAACGCGAAGAACCUUACCAGGUCUUGACACCGAUCCGACCGGGGAGUAACGUCCCCUUCCCUUCGGGGCGGAGAAGACAGGUGGUGCAUGGUUGUCGUCAGCUCGUGUCGUGAGAUGUUGGGUUAAGUCCCGCAACGAGCGCAACCCUUAUCCUAAGUAGCCAGCACGUAAAGGUGGGAACUCUUGGGAGACUGCCAGGGAUAACCUGGAGGAAGGUGGGGAUGACGUCAAAUCAUCAUGCCCCUUAUGAUCUGGGCUACACACGUGCUACAAUGGCGUAAACAAAGAGAAGCGAGACCGCGAGGUGGAGCAAAUCUCAGAAAUAACGUCUCAGUUCGGACUGCAGGCUGCAACUCGCCUGCACGAAGCUGGAAUCGCUAGUAAUCGCGAAUCAGAAUGUCGCGGUGAAUACGUUCCCGGGUCUUGUACACACCGCCCGUCACACCAUGGGAGUCAGUAACGCCCGAAGUCAGUGACCCAACCGUAAGGAGGGAGCUGCCGAAGGCGGGACCGAUAAC
This 714-nucleotide ribosomal RNA is filed under the name uncultured organism. RNAcentral's name for it is "SSU rRNA". It matches the Rfam family "Bacterial small subunit ribosomal RNA", at positions 762 to 1475 of the family's 1533-position model. The record is from RNAcentral.